UUAUGUAUUUCAUAUAUUGUACAACAAGCUAACUAUUUUGUACUCAAGUAAUUUUUCCUGUACUUAGAGUUCAUGCAAUAGCACAAAUGAAGAGAAAAAUGUUAGCUGCUGUCUCUCCCUAUCUGACUCACACCUCUAGUCCAUCAAUAUUUUCACAUUCUUGCUGCAGCAGUUACAAAGAACAGUACAGAGAUGUAGCAGUCUUGUCACAUACACUAACUUCAACAAAAGAGCAAAUCUCCAAUUUAAAGAUUAUACUGAACUCUAGUACAAACCAAAAAUGAUAAGAAAUAUUCUUUCACUAUAUUUGCUAGACAUGCUACUGUUCUCUGUUGUGUCUUUAGACAUUACCUACCAUAUCAAUGAAGAAAACAGCCCUCAUGCCUACAUAGGAGAUAUUGCUGCUGAUUCUAAUAUGUCACAUUUUUUUAAACAUCAACAACACAAUCUUGUUACGUUUACACAAUUACAAAGGAAGGUGUCAAGUGGCUCUCAUCUAUUUAAUGUCACCAACUUAGGGAAACUUUACACAACUCAGACACUGGAUGCUGAAUCUUUGUGUACAAUCAACAAAGAAUGUUUCAAAAUUGUUAGGAUAGCAGUUCGGAAAAGAAAAACCUAUGUAAAGAUUUUAAAAGUCAAAGUAAUCAUAAAAGACAUCAAUGAUCAUGGACCUGAGUUUCCAGAAAGUGAAAUAAAUUUGCAAUUUGAUGAAAAUGAUCGGGAAGGAACUAAAAAGCCAAUUCCAAAUGCUAUUGAUAGAGAUAUUACCAUUCAGAAUUCUAGGAUAACUUAUGAACUGAAGGAAAAUAUAGAUGACCCAUUUUCAUUGUCUCUUUCAAAAGACUAUGAUGGGACUUUCAUACCUGAGAUAGUUCUACAAGGUAAGCUGGAUAGAGAAAGAAAGAAACAUUAUAUGUUAAAGCUGAUUGCUAAAGAUAAUGGUAUACCACCAAAUGAAAAUAUUUUACAUUUUCAGAUAUCUGUAACUGACUCUAAUGAUAAUAAACCAUUAUUUUCUCAAAAAGUAUAUAACAUUUCAAUAAAGAAUAAACACCCCAAAUCAAAACCAAUUUUAGUUUUAGAAGCCACAGAUUUAGAUUCAGGGACAAAUGGAAAGAUUGCCUUUAAUUAUAGUCCCAAAACACCAAUUGAAAUAAGAAAAUAUUUUGAUUUGAAAAAGGCAUCUGGAGAAUUGUUUGUAAAUGAGUACUUUAAAAUAGAUACCAAAAACUCUUACAAGCUGUUUGUUGAGGCUAAAGAUGGAGGGAAACCUCCCUUAAGUUCAACAACAGUGAUUUUGAUUUCUAAAGAAAGCAAUCAUAAUAUUGCUCCAAAAAUUGAUAUAGACUUUGUGUUUCCUUUGUCAGAAAGUUCGACUGCUCUUUUAGAAGACAUUAAAGUUAGUAGUUUUAUAGCUUAUGUCAUAAUUACUGACAAUGAUAUUGAAGAAAAUGGACAGAUUGAUUGUAAUUUGGAACAUGAAACCUUUGGAAUAGUUGAAAUGGGUUCACAUGAAUAUAAAAUGACCACAAAAUGUCCUCUUGACAGAGAAACAAAAGAUCGCUAUGAUAUUGUACUUGUUUGCCAGGAUAUGGGAUUUCCACCACUCAAAUCAGAAAAACAAUUUUCUAUUGAAGUACUUGAUGUCAAUGAUGUAGAGCCACAUUUUACCAAAGAGACAUUCCAAUUCCUCACCUAUGAAAACCAGAAAGUUGACUUCCCUAUUGGCUUCAUCAAUGCUACAGACCCUGAUCUUGGAGAUGGAGGCCAACUUACAUAUUCUAUCAUCAAUGAUAACAACAAUGAUAACAUUCCUUUCCAACUGACAAAAUAUGGAUUUUUUUCUACAUCACAAUCAAUAGAUCGAGAAAUGAAAGACAUCUAUAAGUUCAAGGUUUUAGUGAAAGAUAAGGGAACACCUUCACUCAAUGACACUGCCAAUAUUGUUAUCGAGAUUCUAGAUAAAAAUGAUAAUGCUCCAUAUUUUACGUUUCCUAAUAAUGACCCUUACAAUCUAGAUGUCCACUACCAUCCAAACAGUAAAAAGGACAUCACAAUUCUGAAAGCAUCUGACAAAGACACUGGAAACAAUGCUUUCCUCACAUAUGGAAUAUUAAAAUCUAAUGAUAAAAACAUGCUAACGGUAAAUUCUUACACUGGGGUAUUAUCAUUCUCUCGUAUAAUUAAUAUAAAUGAUGCUGGAACGUAUGAGCUACAGUUCAUGGUGAAAGACAGUGGUACUCCAGUUCAAUCAGCAACAACUGUUAUCAUGCUAACACUGCAUGUUAGUAAUGAUACACUUCCAAUGCAAGCUGCAACCCAUCUCUUAUCUGGCACUGACUUAAACAUAAUUUGGGUAAUAAUCAUUGUGGCAGCAGGAGUAAUACUAUCUGUGGGUAUUGUAGUUUGCUUAACAAUGUGUGUUUUCAGAUGUAUUAAUCACAUUAAAAGUUCACCUUCAACUUCAGAUAAUCAUAAAAUCCUGACAGGCUCUAAGAUGAGGCCAAUGCCAUAUGAAACUAACAACCCUAUUGCAUUUACAAGAAAUACAGAAGACACAUAUAACAGAAAUUGUCAGACAAUGAGCUCAAAAAGUCAUUAUUACCCUGAGAUGGAAAAGACUAUCAAUGAAGGCAAAUUUUCAGCAACAGCUAGAAAACUUCCACCAAUUCCACAGUCUAUUGAUCAGCCAAGUAAGGAGUCUUCUGAUGAGCAUGGAGAAACUAUAUCUACUAAGAGUAUCAAUUAUAUGAGUAAUACAUUGCCAUGCCAAUGGCCAUCUGAAAGUACCUGGGAUGAAAGAUAUACAAGAAAUUUCAGUGAUAUUUCUAUUACAUCAGAGUUUGAUGAUUCUAAACCAGAAGUUCCUCCAAAACCAAAUCGUCUACAAAACCAAGAUACAUAUUUAGAGCCAACAUAUCUAACAAAAUAACUUUAUUUGAAUUCUUUGAUGUCAUGAAGAUAUAUCAAUAAAUUAUGAAAUUCCAUACAGAGGAUAGUAUAGCUGAUAUUUUUAAAUGAUACGACAUUUGAUACAUAGGAAUACUCUAUUAGAUUUAUAUAUAUAUUAUCAAAAUUCUGUUAAAAAAACAAUCCUCAUCUUAAGAUGUAACCAAGCACUACAAAAGUUUUAGUUCUUUAUACACUGUAUAAUUGAAGCACCAAGGUAAAAUUAAAAGAAUACAAGUUAUCAAAUGAGACAUUUAUAGCAUCUUCUGCUCUAAAUGUUUUAUAUUCUAUAAAUGGGAAAUCCUUAAAGCCUUUCCAUUUAUAUUUUCAUAUAUUACAUAAUUGAAUGCUUUAGAAAUUAAGAAUAUAGCUCCAAAACAAAUUCAAUUAUUUCCUCUUCUGGGAGAUCAAAACGUUGCAAUUAACAUUCCUAUUUUCCUGCCCUAGUCAAAACUUUUCUCUAAUCUCAGCUAAGUUUCCAGUGUCCAGUAUCACCUUUCUCUUUUCCAUUUGGUUUCUAGUUACAGCAGUGUAUAAUUCACAAAUAAAUUUAAUUCACUGACUGAAAUAUACACUCUCUGAAUGUCCAAGAAUAGGAUGGAAAAUAGAAAUUUGAAUGUCCAAGUACGAUAUAUCACAUUACUUAAUGAAAUAAGCAUUUUGUUUUAUCAAAAGUGAAACAUCUUCAAUAUAUUCCACCCUCUAUAGACAAGGUAAAAAGUACAUCAAGAUAGUUCAAAUAUUUUCAGAACAUUUCUUUCGUUAUAUGACACCGAUUAUCAUUGCUUUUUAAUAAAUUUAAAUAUAAAUAUUCUCGUGAUUGACGAAUGUAUUUUGAUAUAAUAAGAACUAAUUUGAGAUUUUAGUUUUACAUAGAGUUCAAGUUAAAAACUUUCAAUACAUAGUUAUAGGAAAUUCUAUACCACAAAUCGAAAAAGCAAGUUAUAUGGAGUAGAAAAGGCAUUAUUUACAGUCAGCUUCUUUCUACAAUAAUUGAGUAACGAUGAGGAGAAUUCAUAUAGGAAUAAAAACAAUAUAGCGUUUUAAAUCACAUCAGUUCCAAAGGAAAUAACCCAGACGACACCCUCAUAGUUGGUUCAUGGAAUACACAGAAGCUGGAGCAGUCUGUUAGGUAGUUACGCCUGCUAUUGUGUCAAUAGUUACAGUGGACUACCUGUUAAGAGGCUCCUGUUACAAAGAACAUUAGCAACACCCAUAAAUUAAUCAAACAAGAACUCAGAAACUAUGAACUAAGUUGAAAAGUUAUGCAAACUUUUGCUUACAAAUCAACUGAUUUACCAAACAGAGGAAUAAAAUCUGAGAUAUCAUCUUAACCCUAGCAAUAUUUAGAAAUAAAUUCUCAUACAUUAUUUCAGAAUAACUUGCUCAGUCUUAUAAACUAGACAUAUAAGAAUGUUAUUGUCAACAGUUUCCUUUUUUAUUAAACUCCUCUC
This 4406-nucleotide unclassified non-coding RNA is filed under the name Octopus sinensis (East Asian common octopus). Its description in RNAcentral is "protocadherin beta-15-like, transcript variant X2". Lineage: Eukaryota; Metazoa; Mollusca; Cephalopoda; Octopoda; Octopodidae. The record is from RNAcentral.